CCCGGCCCUGCGGCAGCGGCGCCGCUCUGCUGUCUCUGCACAGCAACCUGGUGCUGCUUCUGCUUGGGGGAGAGUUAAUUCCCUUCACAGUGGCUGUGUAUUGGAUUAGUGCUGAACACAGGGCUGGUAAUACAGAGAUGUCUUUGUUACUCAUGUUAUAAAUGAGAAGCUUGACUAGGCCAAUAUUCAAGCAGCAGCCAAUUUAUUAAUUAAUAUGGUAAAGUAUGAGCAAUACAGCGCUGGGUACAGUGGGGGAAGUUUUCCCUCCAGCUGCACACCGAUAGUUGGGGCUUACAGAUAUUUAUAGGGGUACUCAUAAGCUUUCUCAGCAGUUUCUAUUCCCAAUUUUUACAUCACAAUUCCAUACACUAUUGUGAUUUAGUUUUUCUCAGGAUGUAUCUCAGAAAGGAAUAUCCCCAGAUGGUGGGGUCCAGCUUCCAAAAGAAGAAAGAAGUCUCCCAGCUGGUGAGGUCCAGAUUCCAGAUGCAGGUUCACUUUUAAUUGCAAGGACUAUAAAUCUCAUAACAGUGAUGUCCAGCUUCCCUUGGUCAAAACUAUCAAUCCUUGAGUUGAUGUUCAUCUUCCUUUCUCAAGCUGCUUUUCACUGUUUUGUUAAGGCGUUGAGAUAAGCAUGUUUCCUUUUUAUAUAUUCUAAAGCUAUAGUUUCAAAGAUCCUUACUACAAGCAAUAUUCUAAAAUUACACUUCAAAAGGUUAUUAUUGCAAAACUCUUUUUAGCUAGAAGCAGAAAGCUCCUGUCAAACGGCAACAUCCUUAAAGCUUUAAUUCGAAUGCUCCUAAAUCAACUUAAGACUUAUAAAGGUUAAUUGCAAACAAAGGAUAGGUUCUAAGGCCUUCAUCCAUGCUUCACUUUCUCUGUUAUUUAUUAGAAUUGUCUUUAUAACUGUCCCAUGGUCAGUUUCCACACUUUUCACAAUCACAGAUAGACACAUUGCCUGUAUGUACCUGGCACAAAACACAGCUUUGUAUUUCACACUCAUGUGUUGAGGACAGAACACCCCUUUCCUCAGCUGGGGUUACCUGUCCCAGAUGUGUCCCAGCCCCUCACCAGCGUGGCUGCAUGAAAAGCAGAGAAAGCCUUGGCUCUGUGUAAGCUCUGCUCAGCAAUAACAAAAACAUCUCUCUAUUAUCAGCCAUGUGUUCAGCACUACUCCAACACACAGCCUCAUUCCAGACACUGUGAAGAAAAUUAACCCUACCCCAGCCAAAAGCAGCACAAUGGGGCUAGUGUAUGGAUAGGGUUCUGUGCCUUUCUAUCUCAAAUUAAAAAAAAUUUAAAAUCAAGCACUCAUUUCUCAGUCUUUUUACUCUUUUGGUCUCUGCAUCCCCUGGGGCAUCUCCCAGCUCACCUGAGAGUUGGACAGGUUCAAGUUUUUUCUGCUCACAUCUGCAGCAAGGGAGGGUCUUGUGUACAUCCCAGUGACUGAUUUGUAACUCAGUGGGAGAUGAAUAUCAGAAAUGAGGAGUGAUAAAUUUCUGUCAGAAAAUGGACUUGGAACAGGCUGCCCAGGGAGGUGGUGGAGUCACCAUCCCUGGAGAUGUUCAAGCAACACAGUUUCUUAAAAAAAGCUAAUAUUGAUUUAGAAUAUGAAUAGCACCAUGUUAGUCCUAGAAAACGUUGUUAGAAUUUUAAUGCAAAAGGUGAAUCACCUGAAGAAUAUGGUAGCAAACACUUCAUCAGGAACAGCACUGUGGAAAGACAGACAAGGUAGGCACCCUUGCACGAUUUUCUUUGUGAUGAUAAUUUUUGUUGUUCCCUCUUAAAAUUCCUACAUUUCUUUACUGCACAUUCUUUACAGACCUAACAGAAGCAGCUACAGCAGGAAGAAGUUUAACCACUGCAUUGCAGAACUGGGCAAUGCUCCUUAACAGGCAAAUUAAUGGGACAGCAGAAAUACCAUGGACAAAUGGUACAAGAUGAGCUCCAGUACCCACAGACAAUACCGGUGUGUUCUUCUCUUAUACUGGAGGAUGUUGUCCCUGCCAAUUUCCCUGGGACAAGGACAAUAUAUGCCAUAAUGGAUUAUGCACAGUCCGAACCAGGACAGGCUUACAAAGGAGCUGCAGUUUGUGCUGCUGAGGCCACAGAAUAAGGAGGUUUGGCAUGACUGACUCCUGGCUGUUUCUAAUGUAAGGACCUCUAGUGAAUUUCAGUUUGAUUUUGCAUGCUGGUAUUUUUAGAAAAUUGGCUUUUCUAAACGCUUGUGAAAGACACAUUUCCUUCAGAAAACUGCAGCUCAGACAAGCUUGAAAAUGUCACCACAGUUCAUAAACUGUGUCAUCACAGGCAGAAAUACAAUUUAAGAAACUUGAUCUCUAAUCCAAUGCCUUAGCCAUUAUGGUCUGAGCUUUCAUGAUGUAUUAGAUUGCUUGUUUACAGUUUAUUUUUUGGUCAGGAAAAUAAGAUCCGUCCUUUACUUACAGUUCUGUGCCACAGAUGUAUAAUUGUAGGAAAAAAUGGAUUUGUUGCACAUUAAUGUUAAAGUAUGAGUGUGUAACAUCUGUCCAUCAAAUACCAGUGCAGUUACCUACUCACACUGAUUACUGGAAAACAUUAUAAUUCUGGAAGGCUGGUUUAAUUUGAUGUUCUCCUUAAUGAUAAAUCUUCUUGUGCAUUAAAACAAACAGACAAUCUCCCUCCCCAUGUUUUUCCAUGCACCUUUUCUCAUUAAAACAAACUAUUAAAAAAAUACUAUGACUUGUCACUACAGUUUUGCCAGCCUGUUCAGAAUUGAGUUUUGAUGUCUUUAUAAAAUAAAUUGCUAUUCUGCCUUUUA
Long non-coding RNA from Passer domesticus (house sparrow), 2797 nucleotides. RefSeq lists it as uncharacterized. The record is from RefSeq and is a predicted model, not a curated record. The transcript is spliced from 2 exons. NCBI's taxonomy places the organism in Eukaryota, Metazoa, Chordata, Aves, Passeriformes, Passeridae.